AAAAGAGAAUUUACUUUCUAAAAAUCAUAAAUAAUUCCCGUUACAAAAACGCAAUAGCAACUAUUUGCAAUAAACUCAACAACGGAUACAAAAAAUAUGCAUACGUUCACCGAAACCGGGGCUGGCGUCCCGGCAUUUCUAGCUAAACUUUGGCGUCUGGUAGAAGAUCCUGAAACUAAUAAUCUCAUAUGUUGGAGUAAGGAUGGCCGAAGUUUUAUUAUACAGAAUCAAGCUCAGUUCGCUCGUGAACUGUUGCCACUCAAUUAUAAACAUAACAAUAUGGCUUCAUUUAUACGGCAACUGAAUAUGUAUGGUUUUCAUAAGAUCACUUCCAUCGAUAAUGGUGGACUUAAAUUUGAUCGUGAUGAAAUGGAAUUUACCCAUCCAUGCUUCAAACGUAAUUGUCCAUAUUUGUUAGAACAUAUUAAGCGCAAAAUUGCUUCUGCCAAAGUCGUGGAUGAUAAGGCGACCGUUAAACCUGAAGCGGUUUCGAAAGUAUUGCAAGACGUGAGGGCCAUGCGUGGUCGUCAGGAUUCAUUAGAUUCACGAUUUUCGGUUAUGAAGCAAGAAAAUGAAGCAUUGUGGCGGGAAAUUGCUUCACUGAGACAAAAACAUGCUAAACAACAACAAAUUGUUAAUAAAUUAAUACAAUUUUUAAUCACAAUUGUUCAACCGCAACGUAAUAUGACUGGCGUUAAGCGUCACAUGCAGCUCAUGAUAAACGACAAUCCAGAGAACGCUACAAAAAGUCGUAAAACAAGUGAAGGUGACUCGAAUUGCGGGCCUGUUAUACGUGAAUUGAGCGAAGAGUUGCUAGAUGAGGUUGCUGAUGUUGAGCCGGAAUUAAUAGUGCCCAACAGCCCUUUCGAGCACGCCGCGGUACCAUCGCAAUCAGACAGCGAAAUUGCUGCUGCUUGUUGCUCUCCACAAAAUUCCGAACGUCCUCAGUCCAGCGUAAGCAUGGUAUCGCAAACUUAUGAUUAUUCCAAUCAAAGCACCGAGGAUUCAAUGGGUUUCGGAAAUAAUAGCGCUACUAAUAACACUAAUAACAAAUGCAGUACUCCCGCUAGCGUAGUAAUGGAAGGUGGUCUUGUACAAGCAGUGGGACCAGAUGGCUUAAAAAUUAUUUAUCACGUUACCGAAGUACCAGAUGCACAGCCGCAAGAUGCAGCACCGGCAUUACCAACUAAUUACAAUGAGGAAAAUGUUUUAACUACGCCAAUGGUACGAGAAGAAAUGGCCCGUACACAAAUGCUUAAACAAAAAAAUCGCCAGCGUCGUCAAAAAGUUUCAACUUCGUCAACUUGUUCCUCGCCUUUGCUCGUUUCUUCCUCUGAACCUAAGAAACCGUGUUUAAUUAAUAAGAGCGGUGAAAGUGGCGGCACUGUUAGUGCCAAUCUACCGAAGUUCCAGCCGAUAGAAGUAAAAUCGGAACAAGAUAUUGAUCCCAUGUUAUUCUUGAAUGCUUAUCCAGAAAAUCGUGGCCUCACCCCUGAUCCUAAUCUAAUUUCACCGAGUUUCAGUGAGGAUUCACGACAAUCUUUAGCAAACUUGACCGCCGGCAUUUUUGGUAGUGCUUCUCCACGUACCUCAUCUACAAAUGCAAUUGGCUCUGCAAACAGUGGUGAUUUGUACAAUCCGCAUAAUUUUAUCGCCAACGAUAUACCAGCCGAUAUAUUUGAGGAUUCUUCAAUUAUCUCCUCUCCGAGCGAUAAUAGCAAUUUUAGCGGCGAAAAUUUGAAAAUACCCCGACGGCAACAACAAUCGCAACAGCAUGUUUGUGUUCCUUUAAAUAACGGCAAAUUUUCUUCGCAUAUGACGGAUAAUAAUUCAAGAAGUAUCAUUAGUAACGACACUGACGCCAAUAAAGUUAACAAUAACCGUGCCUCUACAUCCGCAACGGCAACUGCAUCUGCUUGCACUGACGAUUCCGAGAACAACGAUAGCAAACAGACAGUGGUAUUACCAUCCACUUCGAAGGGGGCAGCUGUUGGUGGAACCAGCAAUGACCUGGCAGUUGCCAAAUAUACAAAUAAUAAAGGCAACGAGGAUUUAAUGCGUGAUGAAGUCAAUGGUCAUUUGGAUAACGUACAAGACGAGUUGGAUACACUGAAGGAUCUAUUACGCAGUGAUAUUUAUUCAAUGGAUCAUAACACACUUUUAGGUAAACUUUUAAAUGAAACCGUAACCUCAAAUGAUGACCCAAACCCGAUGGGAUUCAACAAUAAAACAAAUAUUAAUAAUACUAUUGAGCAUAUCAAUCGUAUUUUAUUGACACCAGGAGCAUUGGAUGGCGAUAACUUGAAUAAGCUGUUCAACGAUUCGGAACUUUUGGGCACUUAUGGUUUGGCUUUUUCCGGCGACAAUAGUAAUAAUGAAAAAAAAGGUUCUGAAUUAAUGGCCUGUCAUCCUAUGUACGAUUUAUCUGAUAUUAUUUCCGAUAUUAACGAUCAAAAUGAUUUAGAUGUUACUUUACUUCGCAAAUACAAUUUGGGUAGGCUGCGUACUGAAAUACAGCUGCAAACUUCUGAAUCGAUUAUUGAUUACUCAUGCCCGCCACUUGAGACUAAUUACAUGAUAUUAGAAUUGUUAUUUCGUAACGCCUAGACAUAUAGAUAAAUUGAUUUAGCAAUAUUUGCUGUAAAAGAUGCUGGUCCGUUUAUUCCUCCACUAACUACUUCCCAACCACUACUACAUUAGCCUCAUUAUUUCCUUCCUAACAAUCACACACGUACGAUAACAUAUAUUCGAUCACCCUGAGAUUUUUCACCUCAAAUCAAUUCAGUUGUGCCCGGUUGCAGUUGGACACUUACGGACAUGAAAUUGGGGCUAGAAAGCUGAUGUCGACAUCAAAAGCUCAAAAAAAAAAAACUCGAAAAUUCAAAAAAUUUUUAAUAAAUUGCGAAUUUGCAAUUUAUAGCAAACAUUGACCUAAAAAUCAAAACAAAUUGUUUGAGUUAAUUCACAGUUAAAAAAAAAAAACGCGCUGAGACUUUUAUAUAUACGUCCGAAGUGGUAAAAAAGGUUGCUAGAACAAAUUUCGCUCAUAAGGUCUUCCCGCCCCCAACCCCGCUCCCAAAAAAAAAAAAAUAAAUAAAAAUAAAACGAACCUUUUUCUAGGAAAAAGAAAGUAUUAA
Glossina fuscipes is the source of this 3137-nucleotide RNA transcript. It is a transcript of the gene named heat shock factor protein, with no coding region annotated. The transcript is spliced from 12 exons. The record is from RefSeq and is a predicted model, not a curated record. Lineage: Eukaryota; Metazoa; Arthropoda; Insecta; Diptera; Glossinidae.